AUUGAACGCUGGCGGCAGGCCUAACACAUGCAAGUCGAGCGGAUGAAGGGAGCUUGCUCCUGGAUUCAGCGGCGGACGGGUGAGUAAUGCCUAGGAAUCUGCCUGGUAGUGGGGGAUAACGUCCGGAAACGGGCGCUAAUACCGCAUACGUCCUGAGGGAGAAAGUGGGGGAUCUUCGGACCUCACGCUAUCAGAUGAGCCUAGGUCGGAUUAGCUAGUUGGUGGGGUAAAGGCCUACCAAGGCGACGAUCCGUAACUGGUCUGAGAGGAUGAUCAGUCACACUGGAACUGAGACACGGUCCAGACUCCUACGGGAGGCAGCAGUGGGGAAUAUUGGACAAUGGGCGAAAUCCUGAUCCAGCCAUGCCGCGUGUGUGAAGAAGGUCUUCGGAUUGUAAAGCACUUUGAGUUGGGAGGAAGGGCAGUAAGUUAAUACCUUGCUGUUUUGACGUUACCAACAGAAUAAGCACCGGCUAACUUCGUG
This 484-nucleotide ribosomal RNA is filed under the name uncultured bacterium. RNAcentral describes it as "partial 16S ribosomal RNA". It matches the Rfam family "Bacterial small subunit ribosomal RNA", at positions 30 to 507 of the family's 1533-position model. The record is from RNAcentral.